GGAAGGGUGGCCGAGUUGGUUAUGGCGCCAGGUUAAGGUCAGCUUAACAUCUGUAUCCUGGUGGGGCAACCCGCGCGAGUUCGAGUCUCGUCCCUUUCA
Molecule: transfer RNA, 99 nt
Filed under: Colletotrichum cereale
Lineage: Eukaryota; Fungi; Ascomycota; Sordariomycetes; Glomerellales; Glomerellaceae
Description: tRNA-Leu
Rfam family: tRNA
About the family: Transfer RNA (tRNA) molecules are approximately 80 nucleotides in length.
Source: RNAcentral